GAUGAACGCUGGCGGCGUGCCUAAUACAUGCAAGUCGAGCGAACAGACGAGGAGCUUGCUCCUCUGACGUUAGCGGCGGACGGGUGAGUAACACGUGGAUAACCUACCUAUAAGACUGGGAUAACUUCGGGAAACCGGAGCUAAAACCGGAUAAUAUAUUGAACCGCAUGGUUCAAUAGUGAAAGACGGUUUUGCUGUCACUUAUAGAUGGAUCCGCGCCGCAUUAGCUAGUUGGUAAGGUAACGGCUUACCAAGGCAACGAUGCGUAGCCGACCUGAGAGGGUGAUCGGCCACACUGGAACUGAGACACGGUCCAGACUCCUACGGGAGGCAGCAGUAGGGAAUCUUCCGCAAUGGGCGAAAGCCUGACGGAGCAACGCCGCGUGAGUGAUGAAGGUCUUCGGAUCGUAAAACUCUGUUAUUAGGGAAGAACAAAUGUGUAAGUAACUAUGCACGUCUUGACGGUACCUAAUCAGAAAGCCACGGCUAACUACGUG
This 497-nucleotide ribosomal RNA is filed under the name uncultured bacterium. RNAcentral's name for it is "partial 16S ribosomal RNA". It matches the Rfam family "Bacterial small subunit ribosomal RNA", at positions 28 to 507 of the family's 1533-position model. The record is from RNAcentral.